Xenia sp. Carnegie-2017 is the source of this 137-nucleotide long non-coding RNA. RefSeq lists it as uncharacterized. NCBI's taxonomy places the organism in Eukaryota, Metazoa, Cnidaria, Anthozoa, Malacalcyonacea, Xeniidae. The record is from RefSeq and is a predicted model, not a curated record. The transcript has 2 exons.
CUUACAAAUUUUUUUUUACUAUGGAUUCACCAUAUCCUAAUAAAAGAUAGUAUUGAUGGUGCAGGAGAGCAGACGUUUAUGAAGAGCUCAAAAACCACAGGUGGUAUCAAGAACUUCACAACCCUGGAUAGUGCAUA